Melanotaenia boesemani (Boeseman's rainbowfish) is the source of this 270-nucleotide long non-coding RNA. RefSeq lists it as uncharacterized. The transcript is spliced from 3 exons. The record is from RefSeq and is a predicted model, not a curated record. Lineage: Eukaryota; Metazoa; Chordata; Actinopteri; Atheriniformes; Melanotaeniidae.
AUCCUCAUGUCUCUUGACAAUGACUUGGUCAUUGACAGAGUUGCAGAAAAAAGUGACCUGUUAAAGAAACUCUUAAUCCCCCAACAUUGAGGAAAACGCCACAGAUCCUAGCUGGGUUUUUUAAGUUACCUGUUUUUUGGCUGAGUCUGAGAAACUAGAGAGAAACUACAUCUUCUUUUCAUUAGACCUGUUUUAUUUUGGCUCAGUCAGACGGAGAAGAAACUACAGCAUCUUCUUAUUGUGAGUAUUCAAGUUCAAACCCUAUACAGU